This 587-nucleotide ribosomal RNA is filed under the name uncultured Pseudomonadota bacterium. RNAcentral describes it as "bacterial SSU rRNA". It matches the Rfam family "Bacterial small subunit ribosomal RNA", at positions 116 to 699 of the family's 1533-position model. The record is from RNAcentral. Lineage: Bacteria; Pseudomonadati; Pseudomonadota.
UCUGGGAAACUGCCUGAUGGAGGGGGAUAACUACUGGAAACGGUAGCUAAUACCGCAUAACGUCGCAAGACCAAAAAGGGGGACCUUCGGGCCUCUUGCCAUCGGAUGUGCCCAGAUGGGAUUAGCUAGUAGGUGGGGUAACGGCUCACCUAGGCGACGAUCCCUAGCUGGUCUGAGAGGAUGACCAGCCACACUGGAACUGAGACACGGUCCAGACUCCUACGGGAGGCAGCAGUGGGGAAUAUUGCACAAUGGGCGCAAGCCUGAUGCAGCCAUGCCGCGUGUAUGAAGAAGGCCUUCGGGUUGUAAAGUACUUUCAGCGGGGAGGAAGGGAGUAAAGUUAAUACCUUUGCUCAUUGACGUUACCCGCAGAAGAAGCACCGGCUAACUCCGUGCCAGCAGCCGCGGUAAUACGGAGGGUGCAAGCGUUAAUCGGAAUUACUGGGCGUAAAGCGCACGCAGGCGGUUUGUUAAGUCAGAUGUGAAAUCCCCGGGCUCAACCUGGGAACUGCAUCUGAUACUGGCAAGCUUGAGUCUCGUAGAGGGGGGUAGAAUUCCAGGUGUAGCGGUGAAAUGCGUAGAGAUCU